RNAcentral lists this transfer RNA (87 nucleotides) under Clostridiaceae bacterium. RNAcentral describes it as "tRNA-Leu". It matches the Rfam family "tRNA". Rfam says of the family: Transfer RNA (tRNA) molecules are approximately 80 nucleotides in length. Their secondary structure includes four short double-helical elements and three loops (D, anti-codon, and T loops). RNAcentral also lists the same sequence under 1 other name. Lineage: Bacteria; Bacillati; Bacillota; Clostridia; Eubacteriales; Clostridiaceae. The record is from RNAcentral.
GCGGGAAUGGCGGAAUUGGCAGACGCGCUAGUUUCAGGUAUUAGUGAGUGAACACUCAUGCAGGUUCAAGUCCUGUUUCCCGCACCA